Small nuclear RNA from Rattus norvegicus (Norway rat), 163 nucleotides. Ensembl annotates it as U1 spliceosomal RNA. The record is from Ensembl. Lineage: Eukaryota; Metazoa; Chordata; Mammalia; Rodentia; Muridae.
ACACUUACCCUGUCACAAGGGACGCCGCCAUCACGAAGGCAGUUUCCCAGGACAAUGGUUUCUCAUUGCGCUCUGGCUGGGUCAGCCCCUGUGGUUUCCCCAAAUGUGCUGAAUGCACUGUAUAAUUUGUGAUGAUGGGAGGCCGUGUUUGUCCUUGCCCCGC